AAGACAAAAUCCUACAAGCUACUGCAACGCUUCCAACUGCAGCUGCACAUAGUGGAGUCCCAUGGGAUUCAGCUUCAAAGUUAGCAAACCCUCAAGCAGCGCCCACGUGUUCUGCUCCACGAAUUUCAUGAGGUACUCGACAUACCUAUCGCUUUUGAUGAUUAUCAUGUUGGAAAAAGAAAUUAGGGCUUCCAAUGACAAACUUUAUCCUCCUCCAUAUCCGUGGAGGACAUGAACAAAGCAUAAUGUGACUGAGAGAGAAAAUAAGUGAAGAAAGGGUCAUCAAAGACGAAGACGAUGGGUAUGAUUGGAGAGAAAAUUAGAAAAUUGAGGGUUAAGAGAUUAUCACUUCCACUCCGCUAAAGGGAAAAACUUUGAGGAAUAGUACAGACAAUGCCUUUCGAUCUCAGGAUCAUUUUUUGUCUCAUUGUACCCGUAAAACAUACUAAUUCGAUAUUUGUCCUUGCAAUUUUGCA
Long non-coding RNA from Dendrobium catenatum, 476 nucleotides. RefSeq lists it as uncharacterized. The transcript is spliced from 2 exons. The record is from RefSeq and is a predicted model, not a curated record. Lineage: Eukaryota; Viridiplantae; Streptophyta; Magnoliopsida; Asparagales; Orchidaceae.